GAUGAACGCUGGCGGCGUGCCUAAUACAUGCAAGUCGAGCGAACAGACGAGGAGCUUGCUCCUCUGACGUUAGCGGCGGACGGGUGAGUAACACGUGGAUAACCUACCUAUAAGACUGGGAUAACUUCGGGAAACCGGAGCUAAUACCGGAUAAUAUAUUGAACCGCAUGGUUCAAUAGUGAAAGACGGUUUUGCUGUCACUUAUAGAUGGAUCCGCGCCGCAUUAGCUAGUUAGUAAGGUAACGGCUUACCAAGGCGACGAUGCGUAGCCGACCUGAGAGGGUGAUCGGCCACACUGGAACUGAGACACGGUCCAGACUCCUACGGGAGGCAGCAGUAGGGAAUCUUCCGCAAUGGGCGAAAGCCUGACGGAGCAACGCCGCGUGAGUGAUGAAGGUCUUCGGAUCGUAAAACUCUGUUAUUAGGCAAGAACAAAUGUGUAAGUAACUAUGCACGUCUUGACGGUACCUAAUCAGAAAGCCACGGCUAACUACGUG
RNAcentral lists this ribosomal RNA (497 nucleotides) under uncultured bacterium. Its description in RNAcentral is "partial 16S ribosomal RNA". It matches the Rfam family "Bacterial small subunit ribosomal RNA", at positions 28 to 507 of the family's 1533-position model. The record is from RNAcentral.